CCCUUAGAUGUCCUGGGCCGCACGCGCGCUGCACUGACGGAGCCAGCGAGCUUACCCCUUUGCCGAAAGGCAUGGGAAAUCUUUUGAAUCUCCGUCGUGCUGGGGAUAGAUCAUUGCAAUUAUUGAUCUUGAACGAGGAAUUCCUAGUAAGCGCGAGUCAUAAGCUCGCGUUGAUUACGUCCCUGCCCUUUGUACACACCGCCCGUCGCUACUACCGAUUGAACGGUUUAGUGAGGGCCUCGGAUUGGUCUCGGCCCGCUCUUUACCGGGCGGCGCCGUUGGUCGAGAAGACGCUCGAACUUGAUCGUUUAGAGGAAGUAAAAGUCGUAACA
This 332-nucleotide ribosomal RNA is filed under the name uncultured eukaryote. RNAcentral's name for it is "partial 18S ribosomal RNA". It matches the Rfam family "Eukaryotic small subunit ribosomal RNA", at positions 1470 to 1796 of the family's 1831-position model. The record is from RNAcentral.